UACGUAGGGUGCGAGCGUUGUCCGGAAUUAUUGGGCGUAAAGGGCUCGUAGGCGGUUUGUCGCGUCGGGAGUGAAAUCCACUGGCUUAACUGGUGGCUUGCUUUCGAUACGGGCAGACUAGAGGUAUUCAGGGGAGAACGGAAUUCCUGGUGUAGCGGUGAAAUGCGCAGAUAUCAGGAGGAACACCGGUGGCGAAGGCGGUUCUCUGGGAAUAUCCUGACGCUGAGGAGCGAAAGUGUGGGGAGCGAACAGG
Molecule: ribosomal RNA, 253 nt
Filed under: uncultured bacterium
Lineage: Bacteria
Description: partial 16S ribosomal RNA
Rfam family: Bacterial small subunit ribosomal RNA
Source: RNAcentral